RNAcentral lists this ribosomal RNA (253 nucleotides) under uncultured bacterium. RNAcentral describes it as "partial 16S ribosomal RNA". It matches the Rfam family "Bacterial small subunit ribosomal RNA", at positions 524 to 776 of the family's 1533-position model. The record is from RNAcentral.
GACGUAGGGCGCGAGCGUUGUCCGGAUUUAUUGGGCGUAAAGAGCUCGUAGGCGGCUUGUCGCGUCGUGUGUGAAAUCUCAGGGCUCAACUCUGACAUUGCAUACGAUACGGGCAGGCUUGAGUUCGGUAGGGGAGACUGGAAUUCCUGGUGUAGCGGUGAAAUGCGCAGAUAUCAGGAGGAACACCGGUGGCGAAGGCAGCUCGCUGGGACGGAACUGACGCUAAGGCGCGAAAGCGUGGGGAGCGAACAGG